This 468-nucleotide ribosomal RNA is filed under the name uncultured bacterium. RNAcentral describes it as "partial 16S ribosomal RNA". It matches the Rfam family "Bacterial small subunit ribosomal RNA", at positions 28 to 507 of the family's 1533-position model. The record is from RNAcentral.
GACGAACGCUGGCGGCGUGCUUAACACAUGCAAGUCGAACGGAAAGGCCCUUCUUUUGUGGGGUGCUCGAGUGGCGAACGGGUGAGUAACACGUGAGUAACCUGCCCUUGACUUUGGGAUAACUUCAGGAAACUGGGGCUAAUACCGGAUAGGAGCUCCUGCUGCAUGGUGGGGGUUGGAAAGUUUCGGCUGUUGGGGAUGGACUCGCGGCUUAUCAGCUUGUUGGUGGGGUAGUGGCUUACCAAGGCUUUGACGGGUAGCCGGCCUGAGAGGGUUACCGGCCACAUUGGGACUGAGAUACGGCCCAGACUCCUACGGGAGGCAGCAGUGGGGAAUAUUGAACAAUGGGCGGAAGCCUGAUGCAGAAACGCCGCGUGCGGGAUGACGGCCUUCGGGUUGUAAACCGAUUUCGCCUGUGACGAAGCGUGAGUGACGGUAAUGGGUAAAGAAGCACCGGCUAACUACGUG